This 100-nucleotide transfer RNA is filed under the name Candidatus Woesearchaeota archaeon. Its description in RNAcentral is "tRNA-Ile". It matches the Rfam family "tRNA". From Rfam's summary of the family: Transfer RNA (tRNA) molecules are approximately 80 nucleotides in length. Their secondary structure includes four short double-helical elements and three loops (D, anti-codon, and T loops). Lineage: Archaea; Nanobdellati; Candidatus Woesearchaeota. The record is from RNAcentral.
GGCCCCAUAGCUCAGCCUGGUUAGAGCGCUGGUCUUAUAAGCCAGAGCGCCCGUGUUCAAAUGGAUCUGUUUAAAGAUUAUGGAAAUCACGGUGGGGCCA